Molecule: ribosomal RNA, 274 nt
Filed under: uncultured bacterium
Lineage: Bacteria
Description: partial 16S ribosomal RNA
Rfam family: Bacterial small subunit ribosomal RNA
Source: RNAcentral
AUACGGAGGGUCCGAGCGUUAUCCGGAAUCAUUGGGUUUAAAGGGUCCGUAGGCGGGAAUCUAAGUCAGUGGUGAAAUCUUGCAGCGCAACUGUAAAAUUGCCAUUGAUACUGGAUUUCUCGAAUUAGUGUGAAGUGGUUAGAAUGUGUAGUGUAGCGGUGAAAUGCAUAGAUAUUACACAGAAUACCAAUUGCGAAGGCAGAUCACUAACACUAUAUUGACGCUAAGGGACGAAAGCGUGGGGAGCGAACAGGAUUAGAAACCCUAGUAGUCC